RNAcentral lists this ribosomal RNA (304 nucleotides) under uncultured bacterium. RNAcentral describes it as "bacterial SSU rRNA". It matches the Rfam family "Bacterial small subunit ribosomal RNA", at positions 30 to 335 of the family's 1533-position model. The record is from RNAcentral.
AUUGAACGCUGGCGGAAUGCUUUACACAUGCAAGUCGAACGGCAGCACGGGAGCAAUCCUGGUGGCGAGUGGCGAACGGGUGAGUAAUACAUCGGAACGUGCCCAGUAGUGGGGGAUAACCCGGCGAAAGCCGGACUAAUACCGCAUACGACCUACGGGUGAAAGCAGGGGAUCGCAAGACCUUGCGCUAUCGGAGCGGCCGAUGUCAGAUUAGCUUGUUGGCGGGUAAAAGCCCACCAAGGCGACGAUCUGUAGCUGGUCUGAGAGGACGACCAGCCACACUGGGACUGAGACACGGCCCAGA